AACGCGAAGAACCUUACCUAGGCUCGAAAUGUAGGUGACAGUGUCAGAGAUGACAUCUUCCGAAAGGACACUUACAUAGGUGCUGCAUGGCUGUCGUCAGCUCGUGCCGUGAGGUGUUGGGUUAAGUCCCGCAACGAGCGCAACCCUUAUCGUUAUUUGCCAACAGUUAGGCUGGGAACUCUAACGAGACUGCCUUGGUUAACAAGGAGGAAGGUGAGGAUGACGUCAAGUCCGCAUGGCCUUUAUGUCUAGGGCUACACACGUGCUACAAUGGUCGGUACAGAAGGCAGCAAGACCGUAAGGUGGAGCGAAUCCGUAAAACCGAUCUCAGUUCAGAUUGCAGUCUGCAACUCGGCUGCAUGAAGUUGGAAUUGCUAGUAAUGACGUGUCAGCAACAACGUCGUGAAUACGUUCCCGGGCCUUGUACACACCGACAUA
This 438-nucleotide ribosomal RNA is filed under the name uncultured bacterium. Its description in RNAcentral is "bacterial SSU rRNA". It matches the Rfam family "Bacterial small subunit ribosomal RNA", at positions 958 to 1397 of the family's 1533-position model. The record is from RNAcentral.